AAGUCGUAACAAGGUUUCCGUAGGUGAACCUGCGGAAGGAUCAUUAAUGAUUUUAGCUAACCAUGGCUAUUUUAGUCAUGGUUAUGCGAAAUUUUGUAUUUAAAACCCCACUCUUAUAAUAAAAAUUUUAUUAUAUUUAUGAUAAAAAUAAGAUCACUUUCAACAACGGAUCUCUUGGCUCUC
RNAcentral lists this unclassified non-coding RNA (183 nucleotides) under Oehlia diaphana. Its description in RNAcentral is "partial internal transcribed spacer region". The stretch from base 1 to 46 matches the Rfam family "Eukaryotic small subunit ribosomal RNA", at positions 1786 to 1831 of the family's 1831-position model. The record is from RNAcentral. Lineage: Eukaryota; Fungi; Glomeromycota; Glomeromycetes; Glomerales; Glomeraceae.